AACGAACGCUGGCGGCAUGCCUAACACAUGCAAGUCGAACGAGACCUUCGGGUCUAGUGGCGCACGGGUGCGUAACGCGUGGGAACCUGCACUUAGGUUCGGAAUAACUCCCCGAAAGGGGUGCUAAUACCGGAUAAUGUCUUCGGACCAAAGAUUUAUCGCCUUUGGAUGGGCCCGGGUUGGAUUAGCUAGUUGGUAGGGUAAAAGCCUACCAAGGCGACGAUCCAUAGCUGGUCUGAGAGGAUGAUCAGCCACACUGGGACUGAGACACGGCCCAGACUCCUACGGGAGGGAGCAGUGGGGAAUAUUGGACACUGGGCGCAAGCCUGAUCCAGCCAUGCCGCGUGAGUGAUGAAGGCCUUAGGGUUGUAAAGCUCUUUUACCCGGGAUGAUAAUGACAGUACCGGGAGAAUAAGCUCCGGCUAACUCCGUG
This 433-nucleotide ribosomal RNA is filed under the name uncultured bacterium. RNAcentral describes it as "partial 16S ribosomal RNA". It matches the Rfam family "Bacterial small subunit ribosomal RNA", at positions 29 to 507 of the family's 1533-position model. The record is from RNAcentral.